RNAcentral lists this ribosomal RNA (269 nucleotides) under uncultured Caldilineaceae bacterium. Its description in RNAcentral is "partial 16S ribosomal RNA". It matches the Rfam family "Bacterial small subunit ribosomal RNA", at positions 1108 to 1382 of the family's 1533-position model. The record is from RNAcentral. Lineage: Bacteria; Bacillati; Chloroflexota; Caldilineae; Caldilineales; Caldilineaceae.
CUGUGUGUUACAAGUGUCGACACGGGAACCUAGCCCGGGUCCGAUAAACCGGAGGAAGGUGGGGAUGACGUCAAGUCAGCAUGGCCUUUAUAUCCAGGGCUACACACACGCUACAAUGGCCGGUACAGAGGGCAGCGAAGCCGCGAGGCGGAGCGAAUCUCACAAAGCCGGUCUCAGUUCAGAUUGCAGGCUGCAACCCGCCUGCAUGAAGUUGGAGUUGCUAGUAACCGCAGGUCAGCAAUACUGCGGUGAAUACGUUCCCGGGUCUU